UGGGGAAUCUUGCGCAAUGGGCGAAAGCCUGACGCAGCGACGCCGCGUGGGGGAUGAAGGCCCUCGGGUUGUAAACCCCUUUCGGCAGGGACGAAGCGAAAGUGACGGUACCUGCAGAAGAAGCCCCGGCUAACUACGUGCCAGCAGCCGCGGUAAGACGUAGGGGGCGAGCGUUGUCCGGAUUUAUUGGGCGUAAAGCGCGCGCAGGCGGCCCGGUAAGUCGGGUGUGAAAUCCCACAGCUCAACUGUGGAAUUGCACUCGAUACUGUCGGGCUAGAGGCAGGUAGGGGAGAUCGGAAUUCCCGGUGUAGCGGUGAAAUGCGCAGAUAUCGGGAGGAACACCGGUGGCGAAGGCGGAUCUCUGGGCCUGUCCUGACGCUCAGGCGCGAAAGCUAGGGGAGCGAACAG
This 408-nucleotide ribosomal RNA is filed under the name uncultured bacterium. RNAcentral describes it as "bacterial SSU rRNA". It matches the Rfam family "Bacterial small subunit ribosomal RNA", at positions 355 to 775 of the family's 1533-position model. The record is from RNAcentral.